This 2253-nucleotide ribosomal RNA is filed under the name Kingella kingae. Its description in RNAcentral is "partial 23S ribosomal RNA". It matches the Rfam family "Bacterial large subunit ribosomal RNA", at positions 631 to 2878 of the family's 2925-position model. The record is from RNAcentral. Lineage: Bacteria; Pseudomonadati; Pseudomonadota; Betaproteobacteria; Neisseriales; Neisseriaceae.
CAUUCAGUAGCGAGCUUAACCGAGUAGGGGAGGCGUAGGGAAACCGAGUCUUAAUAGGGCGACUAGUUGCUGGGUGUAGACCCGAAACCGAGUGAUCUAUCCAUGGCCAGGAUGAAGGUGCGGUAAAACGCAUUGGAGGUCCGAACCCACGCAUGUUGCAAAAUGUGGGGAUGAGCUGUGGAUAGGGGUGAAAGGCUAAACAAACUCGGAGAUAGCUGGUUCUCCCCGAAAACUAUUUAGGUAGUGCCUCGAGUAUGAGACUGAUGGGGGUAAAGCACUGUUAUGGCUAGGGGGUUAUUGCAACUUACCAACCCAUGGCAAACUAAGAAUACCAUCAAGUUGCUCCUCGGGAGACAGACAUCGGGUGCUAACGUCCGGUGUCAAGAGGGAAACAACCCAGACCGCCAGCUAAGGUCCCAAAUGAUAGAUUAAGUGGUAAACGAAGUGGGAAGGCACAGACAGCCAGGAUGUUGGCUUAGAAGCAGCCAUCAUUUAAAGAAAGCGUAAUAGCUCACUGGUCGAGUCUUCCUGCGCGGAAGAUGUAACGGGGCUCAAAUCUAUAACCGAAGCUGCGGAUAUACUUUUGUAUAUGGUAGGGGAGCGUUCUGUAAGCCUGUGAAGGUGACUUGUAAAGGUUGCUGGAGGUAUCAGAAGUGCGAAUGUUGACAUGAGUAGCGAUAAAGCGGGUGAAAAGCCCGCUCGCCGAAAGCCCAAGGUUUCCUACGCAACGUUCAUCGGCGUAGGGUGAGUCGGCCCCUAAGGCGAGGCAGAAAUGCGUAGUCGAUGGGAAACAGGUUAAUAUUCCUGUACUUUGAUUCAAUGCGAUGUGGGGACGGAGAAGGUUAGGUUAGCAAACUGUUGGAAUAGUUUGUUUAAGCCAGUAGGUGGAAAGAGUAGGCAAAUCCGCUCUUUCUUAACACCGAGACGUGAUGACGAGUGUCUACGGACAUGAAGUGACCAAUACCACGCUUCCAGGAAAAGCCACUAAGCUUCAGUUGAAUCAGAACCGUACCGCAAACCGACACAGGUGGGCAGGAUGAGAAUUCUAAGGCGCUUGAGAGAACUCGGGAGAAGGAACUCGGCAAAUUGAUACCGUAACUUCGGGAGAAGGUAUGCCCUCUAAUGUUAAGGACUUGCUCCGUAAGCAUCUGAGGGUCGCAGAGAAUCGGUGGCUGCGACUGUUUAUUAAAAACACAGCACUCUGCUAACACGAAAGUGGACGUAUAGGGUGUGACGCCUGCCCGGUGCUGGAAGGUUAAUUGAAGAUGUGCAAGCAUCGGAUCGAAGCCCCAGUAAACGGCGGCCGUAACUAUAACGGUCCUAAGGUAGCGAAAUUCCUUGUCGGGUAAGUUCCGACCCGCACGAAUGGCGUAACGAUGGCCACACUGUCUCCUCCCGAGACUCAGCGAAGUUGAAAUGGUUGUGAAGAUGCAAUCUCCCCGCUGCUAGACGGAAAGACCCCGUGAACCUUUACUGUAGCUUUGCAUUGGACUUUGAAGUCACUUGUGUAGGAUAGGUGGGAGGCUUUGAAGCAGAGACGCCAGUCUCUGUGGAGCUGUCCUUGAAAUACCACCCUGGUGACUUUGAGGUUCUAACCCAGACCCGUUAUCCGGGUCGGGGACCGUGCAUGGUAGGCAGUUUGACUGGGGCGGUCUCCUCCCAAAGAGUAACGGAGGAGUUCGAAGGUUACCUAGGUCCGGUCGGAAAUCGGACUGAUAGUGCAAUGGCAAAAGGUAGCUUAACUGCGAGACCGACAAGUCGAGCAGGUGCGAAAGCAGGACAUAGUGAUCCGGUGGUUCUGAAUGGAAGGGCCAUCGCUCAACGGAUAAAAGGUACUCCGGGGAUAACAGGCUGAUUCCGCCCAAGAGUCCAUAUCGACGGCGGAGUUUGGCACCUCGAUGUCGGCUCAUCACAUCCUGGGGCUGUAGUCGGUCCCAAGGGUAUGGCUGUUCGCCAUUUAAAGUGGUACGUGAGCUGGGUUUAAAACGUCGUGAGACAGUUUGGUCCCUAUCUGCAGUGGGCGUUGGAAGUUUGACGGGGGCUGCUCCUAGUACGAGAGGACCGGAGUGGACGAACCUCUGGUGUACCGGUUGUUUCGCCAGAAGCAUAGCCGGGUAGCUAAGUUCGGAAGAGAUAAGCGCUGAAAGCAUCUAAGCGCGAAACUCGCCCAAAGAUGAGACUUCCCUUGUGGUUUAACCAUACUAAAGAGUCGUUCGAGACCAGGACGUUGAUAGGUUGGGUGUGGAAGAGUGG